Molecule: long non-coding RNA, 1090 nt
Organism: Macadamia integrifolia
Lineage: Eukaryota; Viridiplantae; Streptophyta; Magnoliopsida; Proteales; Proteaceae
Exons: 2
Source: RefSeq, a predicted model, not a curated record
UGAUUUGUAAUUAGCUUCCAAAUUAGAUAAUAUCUAAUUACAAGGGGAUCCCUUUCUUUUCCAUACAAGGAAGGACCCAAUUUUGUAAUCAAUUUAAGUUUAUAAAUAAAGGAAAAAGGCUGGUGUACAGCCCACGAUUGAAUGAAAACAAAAAGGAAAGCUUUGUGCUGGAAAACUGUGAGAUGCAGUGCUAUGAGAGACAGCAUGGGUGAGAUGCACUAGCCCUGUUCGAAUUUAGUUUGAAGCAUGGUUACAAGCCCCAACACUUGCUGCCAUUGCAAGAUCUGAGAAGACAAGUCCAAGACCUGCGGCAUCUCAAUUGUUCAAGCUAUUAACUGGAAGCACCUAUGAUUCUGCUCUGGAAUUAAUUCCUAGUUAUCUAGCUAGGAAUUGGUAUCAAAGCCAGAAGGACAGCAAACGGUGUUGAUGAUCUUGGAGUCUACUACCCACUAGAGGGUUGACCAUGCAACUUUGACUCAACAACUCAACCAAACUCAUGGAUGAGUUUUCUUUUUCAAGAUGGGGAGAGCUGAUGUAGAUCGUAGGAACAAGGCCCCAAUCGAUCCACACCGGUUGUGGGAGGCAGUUUGGUCUGAUGUGGCUUGGUUCUUGGUUCUUGAUUGGUUCAACCCAAGUACAACUUGCUGCACUUUUUUCGUUGAGAAUUCCUCGUUCCCUUUCGUGUGAAUUCCCCCAGCGGCGAAUUAACAACUUGUGGGGCCUUAUCUAUUCCAUCUCUCGAGCCCCCGAAGAAAACCAUGGAGAAUACUUGAAGAAGAUUUCUUCUUGAUUUGUGGGCCCAUGGCUAGCUAGCAUGGAGGAGUUUAAACUGCAAGAUUUAGGAAAUCUUUGAUUAAUGUAGUUUCCAUUUUCAUAUUUCCCUUUAAUAAUUAGAAAGAUAUUAUCUAGCUAGUUUCUAAUUUUAGUUUUUUACUUUUAGAAAGUAAGAAUUCUAAUUUAUUAGGCUCCUAUCUUUGUAAAAGGGAGAGAUUUGAUUUGAUUUGAUUUGUAAUUAGUUUUCAAAUUAGAUAAUAUCUAAUUACAAGGGGAUUCCUUUCCUUUCCAUGCAAGGAAGGACCCAAUUUUUUAA